CCGGGCGCUCUUGCAGCUUGGAUGGCGGACAGCACGCAUGCCUCAAGCGUCCGCCGAGCACGAAGAACCGUCCGAUCCCGUGACAGAUUCGCGUAGCGAUUGCUGCCUCCCUCUCUCCUUCCUCCCGAUUCCCGGCCGCGCCUUUCUCCGAACGAAUUUCAGCGGGCGGCGGCGGCGGCGCGUCACAGAACGGUGUGAUACGAUGCCGCCGCGUCACAGAACGGCUCGAGAGAUGGCGAGCUACGGAUAGCGGCUGCGCCCUGCUCGCGGACGGACGCGCGCAUCGACCCGGCCGUGCUGUUGUGCAAGCGACGCGCUGCAGGAGAUUCAUGAAACUCAGUCAUGUUUCAAUGUUGUGGACGGAGGGAGAGCUGAUUCAUGGUGAGCUGGUCUAGGAGUCUAAGUCUUCUGCAGCCAGUUCAAAGCAUCACGUCAGAUAUGUCGUACUCAGUUAAAAGAUUAAGUCAAGCAUGCAGUGCAAUCUAUUAGUUUUGUUAUAUUGUUGAAUAAAAGACUUGCAGUAGGUAAAAUAAUCCUUUGAACUCUGUGGUGUGGCAAAUAUAAUUGCAUGACUUUGGCAGGGACUAGGGAAUGGGAUUGGGUGAGACUAGUUUUAAGUUCUUGCAUAUUCAAAUCAGAAAAAGUUAUUACUGCUAAAUAUAUUUUUUUGUGCAUUCUAUUCAUAAAAUCAGUUUACAGGGUGCUCUAAAAAAUUUCAGUUUACAGGGAAGCUAAGUUAGACAUUGUUUGCAUAUGGUUUAUCAUACUGCAAAAAGCUUGUUUUUGCUAUUACUACUGCAAAUUGUCAACUUCUCUCAACCUACUUCUUGCGCUUCUGAAUGUUGAAAAAUAUGGACAAAGCGAUGUGAUUUCAACAAGACAAGAUAGAUAGUGUAGCUUGCAGUCAAGAAGGGAGAAUUCAAGGGCUGGUCACAUUGAAUAGCAAAAAAAGAUCAAGUCAUGGAUCCACAUUGUGGAUGGAGGGAGAACCGAUUCAUGGUGGAGAUGGUUCACUUGGGUGUCAAGUCACAUCAACCAGUCCAAAGCCUCUGGUCAGAUAUGUAUUACUCAGCCGAAAGAUAGUGAAGCCAUGCAAUCCAUUUGUUCAGUUAGAUUAUUUUGAAUACAAUACUUCAGUUAAAAUUCUGUUGAGGGUGGAAAAUGCAUGCCUGUGGGCUUUGGUAUGGACUGGUGGGGACAGGAACUACCGGACUAGGAUGAGGCAAGCUUAAUGUUAUUGCUAUUCAGUUAGAAAAAGUUAUAAAUGUUAUAUAAUUUUUUUGUGCGUCCUACUAUUUCUAAUGAAAUCAAUCUGCAUGCAUUUUUGUGUGCAAUUUUGCAACCACCUUACUUUUGUAUUCACACUGUAAAGUGCAAACUUCUCAUUUUUCCAAAUUCUCAAAUAAAAUAGUUUUGUGCUUAUGUUUUCUAUAUUUCUACAUUAUUCCCUAACUAGCUCUCACGCUGUUGAAGGUUGAAAAAACAUGGACAAACCUAGCGAGUGGCAUGUCGGCUAUCGUGUUUCUCUCUCCAGAGUUUGAAUUUGACUUUUCAGGAUGGAAAAGUGGGAAUUCCAGUUUUUGGUGAGCUAUUAAGUUGGAAUGAAUAAAGUACACAAGGUGACAGGGUUAUUUCCUGAACAGUAUUCAUGGAAGUCGGGUGGAGGAAUAGGUGAGUCAUGUUGAGCUGGUAAUUCUUUGAAAUCAAAUAUUGCGACAUCCAGUUAAACAAGUAUAAUAAUCUAUCAGAUGCAACCAGUUAAAAACAAUUUAGAAUUCAAAUAUGUUGCAAUCAGCAAAUACAUCAUGAAGUGAACACUCAUUGAAUACAAGAGUUGUGCUAUUGUAGACCACUCGUUGAAUACCAGUUAAAAACACCGAGUGACAUCGUUUGGGUUUUUCGCUUAUAAAAUGUGUAAGUGUAGAAUGGCUUCCGAAGCUUAAGAUGCCAUCUAGUUUUUUUUCCAUAUUCUUUUUGAAAUAUUGAAAUCAAAUAAUACUGAGCUUACAACGUUAGAUUUGUCAAGACAUCCUUUGGUAAUAAUUCUUAUCCUAUUUGUAGUGUUGCUAUGUUGAAAACCAAACUGCGGUAAACCAUGCAAUUCCAUUGUUGAAUACACCUUUCCCAAUUCAACAUGGGGGUACAUGUGUAAAAUAGCACAGUUAGUCAAGAAAUCAGCUAGGUCCAUGUCCAUGGGCCCAAUCUGAAAAUAUGCCUUGCCGGGCGACACCCAUAAAUAGUUAGAGUGGCACGCUGGCAAUCAGACCUGCGUUGGUUUGCUGCAUUUCACCAUGACAGCCGCUCGCUCCGUCUCAUUGUACUUGUGGGUAAUAUUGACCUUGCUUAUGCUAAGCAGCCACUUUCUUGCAGCCCGCCGCACCCUCCUGGGUAUGUAUGUCAUAUCGGAAGAGCUCUAUUAAUUUUGCCGUCGGUCAAAUAUUUUAUCCCAUUUAGCCGUAUUACCAUUCAUGGCACUAUUUAUGCGUGUUGUCUGCAUGGUAUUUUCUCAAACUAUUUGCAUCUGUUAAAUCUAGUUUCACGCUGAUAGGAAUUUAUAACAGUUUCACUUUUCCUUGAAUCCAUGACAUUACUCGAGAGUCUUCUAUUUUUCUCUGAGUUUCUUGCUUGUGUGGUUUUUAUGUUCAUUUAUAUUUGUGGUUCAACGCAGUGGUAUUAAAACUAAACAUAAAAAGCCUCAAGAUGCGGCAACUACUCAUUCACCUCAAUAAACAGUCUAAUUGACAACAUUAAAAAAAACCAAUCAAUCCUCAACUCAAAGUUUCACUUCGGUACAUAGAAAGAUGAAUUUUAAUAACAUCAUUCUUCAGCAACUUUGUAUAAAAUUUGACUGUAUCCUUGCAUACAUUUUUUUUGAAAGAUAUUAUCCUCGCAUAAGAUAAUCAUAAAGUAACUGAGCUAGUCAAAUAUUGCAGCUUGCACGGGUUCAUCGCUCGACUCUUAUUAUGGCCCCCCAUGUGAGCAACCCCAUCCUCCAAUCGACCCUCCUCAACUGUAGCAAGUCCUAAGCUCCACCAGCAAGGCUACCUGCUCGUCUAAGCUUACUAGAAGAGACCAUUAUUAUAAACCUCAAUCAUUACUCUCCGAGCUGAUCUGCUGAUCAGGUUCUGCUCCUGCCCACAGAUACUCGAAUGUGCAAUGAGCUUACAAUAAACGGGUGGAAUCCAUUUUGUAAAACUAUAAGUAUGAGCUGAUGAUAGCUUUGGUUGCACAUUUGUAACUGUAUUCAUGUGCCCGUGUCAGAAGUAUGAAAUACUGAAAUCUGCUCCUGCUUUUCUAGAUGUGUUGAUUUCUCAUCAAACUGAUUUCUUUCCUAUUUCGAUCCGUGUGGAUUUUCUCUUUAUAAGUGGGGAAUAAAUGCUCUGCUCGCUGUGCUGUGGGUGGUA
Panicum virgatum (switchgrass) is the source of this 3404-nucleotide long non-coding RNA. RefSeq lists it as uncharacterized. Lineage: Eukaryota; Viridiplantae; Streptophyta; Magnoliopsida; Poales; Poaceae. The record is from RefSeq and is a predicted model, not a curated record. The transcript has 4 exons.